GGAUGGCAAAACUUAGUUCUACCAGUUUCUUGUGCAUUGCUCCUUUUCCUGUGACUGGAUGAGUGUCCUUUUAUUACUUUUACUUAAUUGUUGUAGGGAUCUGAAAUAUAAAAAGAAAUAUAAAGCUAUUCCAGAUGCUCAUGACCUAGUCCACUUCUUUACAGUUGGAUCCUAUGGAGGAACAUGAAAAACACUACAAAGUUCCACUGAAUCCACUCCCUUACCUGCCCUUAGAUAUCUGUAUGAUAUGCUGGAGAGGAUCAUUGCAAGUGGGGUUGAGCCAUUCAUGAGACAUCACACCAGUGCCACACCAAACAGCGAAGUGGAUUGGUAAGAUAGUGACACCAUAUAUGCCAGUACUCCAAAAAUUUAAGAUGGUGGUGAGGCUUCAAUUUUAGGACAUACAUGUUCCAUCCAACCACUGCCUUCAAUUCUCAGCUUGUUACAUAUACCAUCUCCUACAUGACAUCUAAACAAAAUAAGCUCUUCCACUGCCACACCCCAUGAUGAGGUCUAGACCUUAAUUCACACCAUGAGCAUGUGAUGGACCAAUCAAGCAGCCUACCAUCAACCAAGUAUGGAGAGUAUUUCACAAAUGUUUUCCAAAAUUGAAUUAAUAGAAGCAUAACCUUCCUG
This 636-nucleotide long non-coding RNA is filed under the name Elaeis guineensis (African oil palm). RNAcentral's name for it is "long non-coding RNA (EGUI_LNC022458)". Lineage: Eukaryota; Viridiplantae; Streptophyta; Magnoliopsida; Arecales; Arecaceae. The record is from RNAcentral.